UGGGGAAUUUUCCGCAAUGGGGGGAACCCUGACGGAGCAACGCCGCGUGCGGGAGGAAGGCCUGUGGGUUGUAAACCGCUUUUCUCAAGGAAGAUAAUGACGGUACUUGAGGAAUGAGCAUAGGCUAACUCCGUGUCAGCAGCCGCGGUAAUACGGAGGAUGCAAGCGUUAUCCGGAAUAAUUGGGCGUAAAGCGUUCGUAGGUGGUUUUGUAAGUCUGCUGUUAAAGCGUGUAGCUCAACUACAUAUAGGCAGUGGAAACUACAAAACUUGAGUGCGUUCGGGGCAGAGGGAAUUCCUAGUGUAGCGGUGAAAUGCGUAGAGAUUAGGAAGAACACCGGUGGCGAAAGCGCUCUGCUAGGCCGCAACUGACACUGAGGGACGAAAGCUAGGGGAGCGAAUGGGAUUAGAUACCCCCGUAGUCC
This 424-nucleotide ribosomal RNA is filed under the name uncultured prokaryote. RNAcentral describes it as "bacterial SSU rRNA". It matches the Rfam family "Bacterial small subunit ribosomal RNA", at positions 355 to 796 of the family's 1533-position model. The record is from RNAcentral.